CCUACGGGGGGCUGCAGUGGGGAAUAUUGGACAAUGGGGGCAACCCUGAUCCAGCCAUGCCGCGUGUGUGAAGAAGGCCCUCGGGUUGUAAAGCACUUUCAGUGAGGAAGAACGCCUGGUGGUUAAUACCCAUCAGGAAAGACAUCACUCACAGAAGAAGCACCGGCUAACUCCGUGCCAGCAGCCGCGGUAAUACGGAGGGUGCGAGCGUUAAUCGGAAUUACUGGGCGUAAAGCGCGCGUAGGUGGCUUGAUAAGCCGGUUGUGAAAGCCCCGGGCUCAACCUGGGAACGGCAUCCGGAACUGUCAAGCUAGAGUGCAGGAGAGGAAGGUAGAAUUCCCGGUAUAGCGGUGAAAUGCGUAGAGAUCGGGAGGAAUACCAGUGGCGAAGGCGGCCUUCUGGACUGACACUGACACUGAGGUGCGAAAGCGUGGGUAGCAAACAGGAUUAGAUACCCCUGUAGUC
Molecule: ribosomal RNA, 465 nt
Filed under: Vreelandella stevensii
Lineage: Bacteria; Pseudomonadati; Pseudomonadota; Gammaproteobacteria; Oceanospirillales; Halomonadaceae
Description: partial 16S ribosomal RNA
Rfam family: Bacterial small subunit ribosomal RNA
Source: RNAcentral